UGGCACAGUGGUUGAAGCGAUUGACUGCUAACCAAAAGGUUGGUGGUUCAAAUCCACC
Molecule: transfer RNA, 58 nt
Filed under: Loxodonta africana (African savanna elephant)
Lineage: Eukaryota; Metazoa; Chordata; Mammalia; Proboscidea; Elephantidae
Rfam family: tRNA
About the family: Transfer RNA (tRNA) molecules are approximately 80 nucleotides in length. Their secondary structure includes four short double-helical elements and three loops (D, anti-codon, and T loops).
Source: Rfam by way of RNAcentral